AUACCGGCAGCUCGAGUGAUGGCCGUUCUUAUUGGGCCUAAAGCGUCCGUAGCCGGCCACGCAAGUUCGUCGGGAAAUCCACGCGCUUAACGCGUGGGCGUCCGGCGAAACCUGCGUGGCUUGGGACCAGACGACCCAGAGGGUACGACCGGGGUAGGAGUGAAAUCCUGUAAUCCCGGCCGGACCACCGGUGGCGAAAGCGCUCUGGGAGGAUGGAUCCGACGGUGAGGGACGAAAGCCAGGGUCACGAACCGUAUUAGAUACCCGGGUAGUCCUGGCCGUAAACGAUGCCCGUUAGGUGCGGCGUAGGCUACGAGCCUACGCUGUGCCGCAGUGAAGACGCUAAACGGGCCGCCUGGGAAGUACGUCCGCAAGGAUGAA
This 381-nucleotide ribosomal RNA is filed under the name uncultured bacterium. RNAcentral's name for it is "bacterial SSU rRNA". It matches the Rfam family "Archaeal small subunit ribosomal RNA", at positions 473 to 853 of the family's 1478-position model. The record is from RNAcentral. RNAcentral also lists the same sequence under 1 other name.